AUGAAAACAACACUUGUGGCAAGCUGUGACAUACUGUGCUGCGAACUCUAUAACAUCAGACCUUUCACCCCAAAAGUGUACAAAAAAAGGAUGUGUCUGUUGAUCCUGGAGCACUGUCGCUGGUUGGUCAUCCAGAAGUUCCAAGCUAUCAUGAAGGGCCUCGCCGUGGAUGACCUCAUGUGUCACGUCCUGACCAGUGAAAAGGGUCAUUUGUCAUAGUAGAAUGGUCAGGGCGUGGCAGGGGGGUUGUUUUGUGUGUUUUGUUUUUUUUGGUUCUAGGGGAAUUUGCUCUAGUUUUCUAUUUCUAUGUUUCGUUUUUCAUGUUUGGCCGAGUAUGGUUUCCAAUCUUUCGUUGUCUCUGAUUGGAAGCCAUACUUAGGCAGCCUGUUUUCCUUUGGGUUUUGUGGGUGGUUGUUUUCCGUUUUGUCUGAGUACCUUACGGAACUGUUGGCUGUCGUUAUUUUGUUUAAGUGU
RNAcentral lists this long non-coding RNA (474 nucleotides) under Salmo trutta (river trout). RNAcentral describes it as "lncRNA (ENSSTUG00000040555.1)". Lineage: Eukaryota; Metazoa; Chordata; Actinopteri; Salmoniformes; Salmonidae. The record is from RNAcentral.